AGGUGACCUGCGGAAGGAUCAUUACCGAGUGCGGGCCCCUCGGGGCCCAACCUCCCACCCGUGUUGCCCGAACCUAUGUUGCCUCGGCGGGCCCCGCGCCCGCCGACGGCCCCCCUGAACGCUGUCUGAAGUUGCAGUCUGAGACCUAUAACGAAAUUAGUUAAAACUUUCAACAACGGAUCUCUUGGUUCCGGCAUCGAUGAAGAACGCAGCGAAAUGCGAUAACUAAUGUGAAUUGCAGAAUUCAGUGAAUCAUCGAGUCUUUGAACGCACAUUGCGCCCUCUGGUAUUCCGGAGGGCAUGCCUGUCCGAGCGUCAUUGCUGCCCUCAAGCCCGGCUUGUGUGUUGGGCCCCGUCCCCCCCGCCGGGGGGACGGGCCCGAAAGGCAGCGGCGGCACCGCGUCCGGUCCUCGAGCGUAUGGGGCUUCGUCACCCGCUCUAGUAGGCCCGGCCGGCGCCAGCCGACCCCCAACCUUUAAUUAUCUCAGGUUGACCUCGGAUCAGGUAGGGAUACCCGCUGAACUUAAGCAUAUCAAUAAGCGGAGGAAAAGAAACCAACCGGGAUUGCCCUAGUAACGGCGAGUGAAGCGGCAAGA
RNAcentral lists this ribosomal RNA (596 nucleotides) under fungal endophyte. Its description in RNAcentral is "eukaryotic LSU rRNA". The stretch from base 165 to 318 matches the Rfam family "5.8S ribosomal RNA". Lineage: Eukaryota; Fungi. The record is from RNAcentral.